ACGCUCGACACCUACGGGGGCAGCAGUCGGGAAUAUUGCGCAAUGGAGGAAACUCUGACGCAGUGACGCCGCGUGCAGGAAGAAGGUUUUCGGAUUGUAAACUGCUUUAGACAGGGAAGAAAAAGACAGUACCUGUAGAAUAAGCUCCGGCUAACUACGUGCCAGUAGCCGCGGUAAUCUGAGCGGGCUGGCAAGGC
This 197-nucleotide ribosomal RNA is filed under the name uncultured bacterium. Its description in RNAcentral is "partial 16S ribosomal RNA". It matches the Rfam family "Bacterial small subunit ribosomal RNA", at positions 328 to 539 of the family's 1533-position model. The record is from RNAcentral.